RNAcentral lists this long non-coding RNA (375 nucleotides) under Solanum tuberosum (potato). RNAcentral describes it as "long non-coding RNA (STUB_LNC004987)". Lineage: Eukaryota; Viridiplantae; Streptophyta; Magnoliopsida; Solanales; Solanaceae. The record is from RNAcentral.
CAGCCAUAAUGUUUUGUUCAUAUUUUUGAAAAAAUCAGUCGUACUAGAUUAUCUAAUAUCAAAGAAGUGAAAAACUUGUAAUGAUAAAAGUCUGAAUGCAGAAGACGAGCAUACCAUUUCCACUCAUCGACUGUGAUUGGUUUCCUGAACCUGAAAUAAAUAUUUCCUUUGGGGAAAGAAAAACAUUGUCUUAAAAAACUGAUCGGAGAGAUUGUGAGCUAAUUUCUAAAGAGGUGCUAGAUAUUUAGGUGAUCAAAGAAAGAAACAGAUAAGGACACAGGAUUUACUGAACAAACCUGUUGCCGAGCUCGUUGAAGCUCCUGUUCUAGUUGUGUCAGCUUCAUCCUGCUGCUCUCCAACUGUUGAACAUAUGCC